RNAcentral lists this ribosomal RNA (465 nucleotides) under Vreelandella stevensii. RNAcentral describes it as "partial 16S ribosomal RNA". It matches the Rfam family "Bacterial small subunit ribosomal RNA", at positions 338 to 795 of the family's 1533-position model. Lineage: Bacteria; Pseudomonadati; Pseudomonadota; Gammaproteobacteria; Oceanospirillales; Halomonadaceae. The record is from RNAcentral.
UCUACGGGGUGCAGCAGUGGGGAAUAUUGGACAAUGGGCGAAAGCCUGAUCCAGCCAUGCCGCGUGUGUGAAGAAGGCCUUCGGGUUGUAAAGCACUUUCAGUGGGGAAGAAAGCCUUGGGGCUAAUACCCUCGAGGAAGGACAUCACCCACAGAAGAAGCACCGGCUAACUCCGUGCCAGCAGCCGCGGUAAUACGGAGGGUGCGAGCGUUAAUCGGAAUUACUGGGCGUAAAGCGCGCGUAGGCGGUCUGAUAAGCCGGUUGUGAAAGCCCCGGGCUCAACCUGGGAACGGCAUCCGGAACUGUCAGGCUAGAGUGCAGGAGAGGAAGGUAGAAUUCCCGGUGUAGCGGUGAAAUGCGUAGAGAUCGGGAGGAAUACCAGUGGCGAAGGCGGCCUUCUGGACUGACACUGACGCUGAGGUGCGAAAGCGUGGGUAGCAAACAGGAUUAGAUACCCGAGUAGUC